UUCCGCUCGGCCUAUGAGAACUUCCGGUGCACCGUUUUGAAUCUUCGUUUGGUGUCUUUCGGUUGCUAUCCGAGGCUUUGGGCCCAAAGCAAAUGUAUUGACCAUCAUCUUCAAAGAGACAGAGAGAGACCAUGGAUGAUGAUAAUCACAGAUUAUUUCAAAGAGUUUCAGAGAAACUGGGCUGGUCAGAGAAGGGAGGAUUGGAAACAGCAGAACAACAGCUGAUUAAGAGCGUCGGUAAGACUCGGCAUCUGGCCACAGGCUGUCAUGGCUCCAGGGGG
Long non-coding RNA from Oncorhynchus tshawytscha (Chinook salmon), 281 nucleotides. RefSeq lists it as uncharacterized. The transcript is spliced from 3 exons. Lineage: Eukaryota; Metazoa; Chordata; Actinopteri; Salmoniformes; Salmonidae. The record is from RefSeq and is a predicted model, not a curated record.